AUAGAUGGCUCAGUGGUUAAGAGCACUGACUGCUCUUCCAGAGGACCCAGGUUCAAAUCCUGGCACCUACA
RNAcentral lists this transfer RNA (71 nucleotides) under Neotoma lepida (desert woodrat). It matches the Rfam family "tRNA". From Rfam's summary of the family: Transfer RNA (tRNA) molecules are approximately 80 nucleotides in length. The record is from Rfam by way of RNAcentral. Lineage: Eukaryota; Metazoa; Chordata; Mammalia; Rodentia; Cricetidae.